AAUUCCAGCAAUGAUUUAUCCCUUUUCAAUUAUUAACUUUGUCUCAAAAUUGAUGUGUAGCUUGAUCUUCAAGUCCUUCAACAUCAUGCCAAUUUUCACCUUAAUCCAACUAAUAGAUCUUUAGAUAUCAUAGAAAUCCUACCCAACCUCAAACUGCCACCUUCCAAAAUCCUCUUGUGCUAAAAACUAGAUAUCUCUAAACCAUCCCGUUAGAUUAUCACAAAAUUUUGUAUACACUUAGUACACUCAAUAAUCUAAAUAGUACCAAGUUUUCAACCAUAGAUGUUACACCAAUUGCACGAAAUAGCCAAAAUUAUUAGUCCUAAUUAUAUUAUAUAAAACCCAAAUCAUUGAUACAAACCCUGACUUUGAACAACAAUUGCUAAGUCUUCCAAAACCCUUUCAAAAAAAUUCUUAUGUAUUUGGAAAGAACUUCAAGAUAGCUCUAAAAUCUUAACCUUUGAUCUUUGAAUGAUCCCCUAUUUUGUCCUAGGCCGUCAUUUUGGUGGCUAGAGGUUUGAUUUCAACCCUGUUUCACAAAUAGUCAAUCUCCAGGUAUCAAUCUAACCUAUUGUAGAAUAGGUAAAUAAAUUUUGUCGUAAGCUACUAGUUGGUUAUUGAAAACCUUGACAUUUAGACUUAUGGUUAGAUAGUUUAGUUGAUAAUAGUAGAUUGUUAGUGGAAUAAAUGGUUAAGAAUUCAAAGGGUCAUAACCUUUGGAAUCUGCUGGCCGAUGGAUCAUCUUUUUUGUAGGACAAAGAGGUUGAGGAAAGAGAGAUCAAAGCCAGACUGUGAGAGUCGUAAGCCAAGGUAAGCUUAGUGCUACCUCUUUAUUUUUUUUAUUUUUAUUAUUUUUUUAUGACAAAUUGUAAUUGAGAGAAGUAUUGUUGAAACUAUGAUUAGAAUAUUGUGGAAUAUGGCUUAGGACUGACCGUUUUAGAGAAGAUCUAUGACCUUGAGAAUUGAGAUUAUCGAAUUGUAUUUUGUUAAGUGAAGAUAUUUAAUUCUGUGUGAUGAAUUGAGAAACUGAAUAUAAUAAGAAAGCUAGAGAUCAGUAAUUAAAUAUAUAUAAACCGCAAAGGGAGUAAGUGGGAGAUGAAUUGAUAAGAAUAUGGAAGUAUUAUUGAAUUGAUAGUCGUAGAAUAGAUUAUGUAUUGAAUUAAGAUGGAAGUAGUAAGCCUUGGUGUUUUUUAGUUUGAUAAUUGAUUUUAGAUAGCUAGAGUACAAUCAAUUAUGACUUUAAUACAUCCAAUUCAUAUAACCAAUCUUUCCCUGUGUUCGAAUCCACCUCUAUUAGUUCAAUUGCUUUGAUAUAUCAAAGCUUGAAUGCAACGAGAACAACAUUUUGGCACCGCUGCCGGAGAAAUGAUAACAAUAUGAAAUAUUAGAAAUUGAUUGUAUGAGAAGAAUGAAAGAUUAUGAGUAAUAAUUAUGAAGGGGAGGAUUAUCAAAGAAUUAAUCGAUUAGCAAAAGAAAGACAGGAGUGAUUACGUAUAAGAAAUCUCCUACGGAAACGAAAAAAAAGAAUUAUAUGUCCAAAUAAAACCAAAGGAAGAAAAAUUCAAAUUUAGAUAGCAAGGAGACUAGUGAUAACACCAAUGGUUGCGGGAGUGCUAGAAGUAUCAAUUGCAGUACAAAUGGGAGCAGUAGGAGACCGAACUACAAGUGUGGCACUAUUAUCUACUUUUAGUGGUUGUCGAGCUUUGAUCCCAAUUACCAUAUAUCUCAAUUUUUGACAACUUACAUGGCUAAUAAUGGUAGAAUUGAAGACAUUUGGUUAAGAUGGUUGCGAGCAACUUUAAAAGAUACAGCUUUUAAAUGGUAUAAUCGACAACGAGUGGAUAGAUUUCUCAAUUGGGAGGCCUUAAGGAACGCCUUCCUAAUCCAUUUUAGACCAAUUGGAUUUGAAGAUUGGCUUUGAGAAAGUUUUAUGAAUAGCAGGAUGUUUGUGGGGGAAUCAGUAGAGUCCUAUUAUGGUCGGGUCACGAAUAUACUUUGUAAAUGGUCAAAUAAUCAAAUGCCAGAUGUGUUUAUAUUGUCAAUAUUAAUUAAUGGUUUGCAUCCACCAGAAUUAAAAAUGUUUGUAAAAGAGGCUCGACUAGCUACAAUAGAGGCAUCAUUGGCACAAGCAAAGGUGUCGGAAGAAUGUCAUUAUGACCAAUUAUUAAUAGUGGAGGCCACGAUGAUUCGAAAUUCAAGAAGCCAACAAAUACAAUCGAGAAAUGUGUCGAUGGAUAAUUAUCUACAAAUGGCUGAUUCCAACAUGAAGAAUGUUAUGUUGCAAAAAUCAAUUAAUGCUAUACCACUCCAAGCAAUAGUGUCAAUAACAAAGACACCUUAUUUUACAUCACCAAUCUAUCAGCAAUCGGAGUUGUUCACAAAUGUGACUGUUAAAGAUCCAAAUGAAGCCUUGUUAUUAAAUCUAACAAAGAAGAUGGAAGAAUUGGCUGUAAAUUUGAUUAAAGAUAAGGAAAAAUGACAUAAGCCUUGUAAUACGAGACCUAAUGUAUGGUAUAAUAAUUGUAAGAGGCAAGGUCACUUUGAUAUGGAAUGUCCAUCAUCCAGACAAACGGGUGUUCAAUGUACAUUUAUUGGAGGAAAACACCCUACCUAAAACUGCUGGCAUUUACAAAGGCAACAAUAAUUCAGUAAUCAGACCAUGAUCCCAUCGACUCAGUGAAAAGUCUAUCAAGUUCAAAUAGAAAAUACGUAUGGAUGGAAUGAAAAUCGAUCUAAUCGAAAAAAUUGAACAUUCAAUAACUUUCAAAGUUUCAAUUUUAAUCAGGGGUCUGCAUCAAACCAUCAGAACUAUGGGAAGGAGCAGUAGAGGUAUCAGCAAUAUGUUCGAUCAGCGUCAUUGAACCAAAUACCCUAUGUACAAAUGAGACAACCAGGAUCAUUUUCUAACCCUAUUUAGAACAAGCUUAGUAGGUAUAUAUUGGUGGAGACACCCACUAUGUCAGAUGGAGGUGCAAGAAGACCACUUUGCUGUUUCCGUUGCAUAUAGAUUGCUCAUUAUGCUAGUGAAUGUCCCAAUCCCAGAGCCAGUGAUAAUUAUGUGCCAGUGUGUAUGAAUUGCAAGCAGUCAAGAUAUACUUAUCAGCAAUGUAAUGCUCUGUUCAAUUUCAAUAAUCGAAACUAGCAAAUCCAAAGCCAAAGAAAAAUGGAGGACAUAAAUCAAGGUCUCUAAGAUUCUCUGAUAAAUCGGAUGGAAUGUGCCCAAGCCAUUCUUAUCAGGAGUCAGAAAAAAAAGAAAGGACCAAUUCAAUAUUUGGAUAAUCCUGAAGCAAAAGGCCAAUUAGACCUAAUUAUGGCGACAUCCAAUCCAGGUCUUGAAAUGGGCCCCUUACUCAGUAUAAGACCUAAAUCGGUUGUGCACCCUAAUGAGGUACCGAUUACGGAGGCUUUGAUUCCAUCUCAAGCUAUUCCGUUGUCAUAUUACGUGCUUUCCUGCUCGAGAAUGCAUCGGACGUCUGGCUGUAGAAGGUAGUAUAGAGAUUCGCCAAUAUUCAAGCAGUUUAUCGAUUUUUGACUAUUGGAAUAUAAACAACUACAAGAAUACACCGUAAAUCUAUACGGAUGCCCUUUGACUGCUUGUCGAAGUCCUUUUUGCCCUAGCCGAUAGGUCUCUAGACGUUAUAGAGAACCCCGAACAAUCCAAACUGCUAAUCUUCGAUACCGCUUUAUACUCACGAUCUUGUAUCCACUGACUGUCUUGUUAGAUUAAUCCAAUAAAUUUCAUUCACUCCGCAUACUCAACCCUAUAGGCACCCUUUUAACUCUUCAUCACAAACAUAACUCGAUUUCACAAAACAGUCAAGAGUAAUCAAACCCACUUCAUUAAAAAUCCCGAUUCACCAUUACAACACUGACUUCAGCAACAAUUGCCUCAGUCUUCCCAAAACCCUAUGAAGAAAAAAAAAUCCAAUUCUCUGUCUUUUUUCUCCGCCCGAAGCAUGAAGCUAGCUCUCUGAUUCUUCAAAAAACUCCCCCAAAAACUUCUUCUCUCUCCUCUCAUUUCUUAACCUUAAUUUUGAAUUUCUUCAAUCCUCCGUCUUGGAUCCGGAAUUGGCUCUUGCCGUCAGAGCUUGAUCUGAAAUUGACUCUUGCUGUCAAAGCUUUCUCCUCCGUUUUUACCUUUAAGAGCUCCUUUUACCGAAAGGACGUUUCCGAAAUGACACAAAAGACGGAACAGCCUGAAACGGAAUUGGAGCCACGUAAUCGGGACCACAUUGAGUCGCCCGACCAAUUCAGGUCUCAUAUUGGCUAAGAGUCCAAUAGUAAGACCCGGAUGUUCCCGAAAUUGGAUCAAAUUGGUCUUUCACGUCAGAUUGGCUGAGGCCCGUAGUAAGACUUGGAUUUUCCCGUAAUUAGACUGCAUUGGAUUGCCCGAAUAAUUCAGGUCUCAUAUUGGGUAAGAGGACCCGGAUUAGAUUCUUGAAAUUGGAUCCAAUUGGCUCUUCGAACUAGGCUCACCCGUCGUGUGAAUUGGUCCUUUCCCUUCCUGCUGACUCCCGUUAUUGGAAUCAAACGGAGCAUUUCAGUAUGCCCCGGCUGAUUGUAAUGGGGUGACUGAACCUGGCCACUCAACAUUUGCACUGGAGUUGGUCGUUGCUCCCAAUAUUCGAGGUAACUGAACAUUAAUAAAAGUCCCCUUUCUUUAUAUUUUCACGAUAUACUCGUGUUACAACACGACACCGUUCUCUACACAGUUUUGAGAAACAUCCUUUUCAUUAAAAGAUCCUCUCCGAGGCGUGAAUUCCAAGGAACCAAUAUCAACUCAAUUGAGAGAACAAUCUUACCCGUUGAAAGAACCGAUUUUACAAGCUCCAUCAAAUUUAAUUUGAAUAGCUUUACCAAUAUAGAGAAUACCAAUAUACCUAUGUUGGUGUCUAGGACUGGGAAGAAGAAAUGGACAUUGAAAAUUACUACUAAUACAGAAUCAUAUGAUAUUCUAAAAGAUUUGGGCACCAUACAGUCCACGAUUUCUAUGAAGCAACUAUUGGCGGUAGCACCUGAGUGCCAAAUUAUCUUGAAUUCUUCAUUAAUUCAUCGUAGGUCUCGAAAUAAAGAAAUCCGAGAAGUAAGUUUGAAUCCCGAUCUGGGUGCAUCAAUGAUUGAUGUCUCAAUUGAUGGAGUAUUACUAUCAAGAGUGCAAGUAGACGGAGGAUCUAGUGUAAAUCUUAUGAAUAACACUACAAUGGAGGAGCUGGGUUUGCAUCACCUAUUCCCUACUACAGUAGUUUUGAGAAUGGCUGACUCUAGUCGAGUUAAACCUAUGGAUAUUUUAUGAAGUAUUGAUAUAGUAAUUCUGGAGAUUACCUACAAAAUUGAUUAUAUUCUUUUUCGAUUGCAAAGUUCUAUAUUGUCAUACCCAAUUUUAUUGAGGCAAGCUCGGUUGUAUCAAACUAAAGCUCGAAAUGAUUGGGGCCGUGGUACAUUGACAAUUGAGAAAUAUAAUGAUAAAAUUAUACUUUAAAUGUACCUUGUCCAAUAUCAUGGAGAAAUUCAAUUGGCCAGUUUAGAAUUCAUGUCAGAUUGUGAAGAUGAGUCUAUAGAAGAAGAAAUUGGUACACUUGACCCAAUUUAUACUGAUACAAGGUAAGUUGUUGAGUACACUAGAAUGAAAUACCAGUGUAGGGGAUCGAGAGAGUUCUUAGUUCCUCUAGAUGUUAUUGACAAUUUUGAUCAUAUGAUUGCAUAUUGGAUGAAUAGACAGGAUGUUAAUCACAUUAGUACUAUGGAACUGGAGUUAGAAAGUUCUAAUUUGUCAGAUUUUAUGAAAGAUUUUGAAAUAGAGCAGAAUAUUUUUUUAGAGACUCUUGAAAUUCCACAAUGUCAAUCAAUUAAUUUAGGUACAAGGAAGGCUCCCCAAACCAUUUAGAUUUAUGACAGUAUAAAAAGCAAGGAGAAAGAAAUUUGGGUGGAUUACUUUUUAAUACAUAAAGCUACUUUUAUAUAGUCGUAUGCAGAUUUGAAAGGAAUUCCAGCUAAAGUUUGUGAGCAUCGAAUUAUAUUAGAGGAGAAUGCUACACCAAUACGCCAAAGAUGACAUCAACUUAAUCUAAAAUACUCACUUAUAGUAAAAGAAGAACUAAAUAAACUCUUGGAGGUUGGAUUUAUCUAUCCAUUUCUUUUCAGUGAAUGGAUUUCACCAAUUAUUAUGGUACUGAAAAAGAAUGAAAAAGUUUGCAUCUGUUAAGAUUUCUACAAAUAAAAUGUGACUACCAAGAAGGAUUAUUUUCUUUUACCAUUUAUGGAUAGUAUAUUGGAUGUUGUCACUGGAUAUGAAUAAUAUUCAUUUCUUGAUGGAUUCUCUUGUUACAAUAAAGUAAAAAUUGCAAAAGAAGACCAGUUAAAAACUACUUUUAUUACGGAUUGGGGGACCUUUUGAAAAAUGGAGAAUUGAUUUUGUGGGACGAAUUGCACCAGUCUCGAGAAAUGGACAAAAAUGAUGUAUACUGGUAGCAAUAGAUUAGAUAACAAAAUAGGCUGAAGCUGUAGCUAUGAAAACCGAUAGUACAAGUACAAUAGCAACCUUUUUGUAUGAAAAUAUUAUUAUAUGGUUCAGUUGUCCACAAGAAUUGGUUAGUGAUCCAGGAACUCAUUUUAUAAAUAGUACAAUCGAAGCACUUAUGGUUAAAUACAAGAUAAAACAUCAUAAGACUACAUUGUAUCACCUUAGAGCCAAUGGAUAAACGGAAAAGACUAAUAGAAUUUUAUGUAAAAUCUUAACAAAAAUAAUUUCAGGAGUGGGAACAAAUUGGGAUACUAAAUUGUUUGCAGCUUUAUGGGCAUACCACAUUACGUAUAAAAUUACUACCAAUACUAUGCCUUUUUAAUUGGUUUAUGGCCAGAAAGUAAUAUUACCUAUUGAAUUGGAAGUCGAAAGUUUACGAAUUGCUAUAGAUAAUAGAUUGGAAGAUCAGGAUUCAUUACGGCACCAUUUGGAAGAAUUAAAAAAAUUGGAUGAAACUAAAAUCAAUGUAUUAAUGAUAAUGGAAACUACACAAAAACGAAGGAAGACUUAUUAUAAUAGUAAGCUUAGACCAAAGGCUUUUAUGCUAAAUGAUUUGGUUCUUUAUUAUGAUAGUCAAUUUAAAAAUUUUCCAGAAAAAUUUCAAGUUCGAUGACAUAGGCCAUAUCGAGUUAUUGACGGAUUUCCAAAUGGUUCAAUGUAAUUGGAAGAUUUUAUGGGUACUAAAUUUACGACACAGAUCAAUGGCAAUCGGCUUAAAAUUUACUAUACAUAAAUUCGGGACAGGUUUUUUGUUACAAAAGGAUGGAGAGUUGAUCCAAUUGAUUGGACCAUAGUUAGAAGUAGGAGGAGGGCUCUUGACAAGCAUCGUAUUUUUUUUUUGUGGUUAAGGAGAAGUGGAUGGCGGAAAAGGAGAAGAUGGCGAACAUGGUGUCUGAGAAAGCAAGAAUGGAGAUCGAUUGGAAGGAACGACAAGAGCGGCUGCAGGUUGAAGUUACGAUGUUGUAGACUAAACUAGCUGCAUUAACAAAGGAGGCCAAUAAUUUAGUGCGGACCAAUAUGCCAAUUUCAGCGACAACACCUUCAGAGAUAUACGCUGCUACGUCUUUAUAAGUUGAGGCUAAAUAAUAUUUGUGACGACGCUCUACAAUUAAGAGGGGCUAUGUAGAAUAGGUAAAUAAUAGGUAGAAUAGGUAAAUUUUGUGGUAAGUUAUUGGUUGGUUAUUGACAACCUUGAAAAUUAGACUUAUGGUUAGGCAGUUUAGUUGGUAACAGUAGGUUGUUAGUGGAAUAAAUGGUUAAGAAUUCAAAGGGUCAUAACCUUUGGAAUCCAUUGGUUGACGGAUCAUCUUUUUGGUAGGAUAAAGAGGUUGAGGAAAGAGAGAUCGGAGCUAGAUUGUGAGAGUCGUAAGCCGAGGUAAGCUUGGUACUACCUCUUUGUUUUCUCUGCUUUUAUUAUUUUCUUAUGAAGAAUUGUGAUUGAAAGAAGUAUUGUUGAAACUGUGAUUAGAAUAUUGUAGAAUAUGACUUUGGACUGACCAUUUUGGAGAAAAUCUUUGACCUUGAGAAUUGAGAUUAUCAAAUUAUAUUAUAUUAAGUAAAGAUAUUUAAUUUUGUAUAAUGAAUUGAGAAAAUGAAUAUAAUAAGAAAGCUGGAGAUCAGUAAUUAAAUAUAUAUAAACCAUAAAGAGAGUAAGUGGAAGAUGAACUGAUAAGAAUAUAAAAGUAUUGUUGAAUUGAUAGUCUUAGAAUGGAUUAUAUGUUGAAUUAAGAUGGAAGUAAUAAGCCUUGGUGUUUUGUAGUGCGAUAAUUGAUUUUACAUAGCUAAAGUAUAGUCAAUUGUUACACUAACAGAUCCAAUUCAUAUAACUAGUCUUUUCCCGUGUUCGAAUCUACCUCUAUUAGUUGAAUUACUUUGGUAUAUCGAAGCUUGAACACAACGAGAAUAACACCUAUUCUAAGGUGUUUUUAGCACAAAUCCACUUUCAAAUUAAUCCUAGUAUCAACUAUACUAAUUAUUUAUCUCUUCCAACCUGAUUUUAUUAAUUUAUGGUCUUUCUAAGAUAGUAGAAGAGUCUCUAUAACCUAAAAGGUAAAAUUACUAAUUAACCUUCAAUCUACUAACUAUUAAGAUAAGAAAAUAAUAUAAGAAGCUUUUAUGAAAGCCAUGUUUAGAUACCUCAAAUUAUAAUUGAAUUAAGAUAAUUAGAUAUUAAUUAGAAAUUCAAUUUUAAUUAUAAUUUUACUAUAUAGUUGUAUUAUAUCACGACAUCCAUCUCUUCUUAAUCUGCGCAUCCUCCGGCAUGUGCCAAAUGAACCAUAUGUCAUAAUUGGCAUCAUACCAUCUCUUCAUUUUCUUUGUUAAAUCCUUCAUUUCUAUUUUCACCGUCCUCUUCAAAAUAAUUAUCUUCUUCAAAAAUAUCAAUAUCUUCAACAUGAUCUUCUAUAUUGAUUUCUCUAUCUCGUCUUUUAAAAAUCUUCACUUGCUUCCCAACAAUAGGUAUUUUCAAUUUGGUACCAUAUAAUGAAUAUGUGGCAUUAUUAUGAACCAUUACUACGACAUAUGGUCCAAACUAACGUUUUGAAAAUUUUUGCAAAGUAUUAUGUUGAUUAUCGAAACUGCUAUCAUAAAUAAGUAUCCAAUCAUCUUUUUCAAUUACUCUAGGCCUCAAUCGAUGUUGCUUAUCAAAUUGAGGCUUAUUUCCUAACCUUGCCUUUUGUAACCUUUGUAAUGCUAAUUCCACAUCUUUCAAUCUUUGUUCAAGUUGUCAGAUUCUAAUGGCUAACAAUUCUUCUCUUGUCAAUCCAUCUUCCCAUGGUAGCAUACUCCAAGUUGGCACAUUUUUUUCAAUUGGCAUAAUUGGUUUUUGACUUGUCAUAAGUUCUACUAGCAUAUAUCCUGUCACCGAAGUAUGUGUUAUUCGAUUAGUCCAUAAUGCAUAACGUAGAAGUCAAGGCUAUUCUCUCACUCUUCUAUUGCAAGCUUUAAUUAAGGCUUUUUCAAUUGGUGGAUGCCCACGUUGACUCUUUGCAUUCCCUUCUAGAUUAUAAGCAAUAAUCAAUGAUAAUUUGAUCCCACAUCUCUUAAAAAAAUCACGAGCUUUAUGUGUAUGUAAUUCUUCUCAAUUUGCAGUGAUCUUUCUCAUACAUCCAUAGUGACAAAUAACUUCUUCAAGUAAAAAUCUGUAAAUUCCCUCUCUUGACUUUGUUCUUAAUGCCUUACCUUCUACUUGGUUUGAUAAAUCUUUACGAGCCAAAACUAAAUAUCUCAUUUGUCAUAAUCUCAUCAGUAUAAUAACCAAAUCCACAACCCAUUUAAAAUGAAUAGCCAAAGGAUAUGUCAGAUGCAAUCCAUCUCGAUGUUGUAUAUUUGAAUAUAUCUGACAAGUUACACAAGAUUCUACAAAUAAAUUUAUAUCUCAAUAUAUAUUCUUCCACCAAUAUUGUUCCUUCAUUUUAGCAAAAGUAGCCCAAAUUCCUUUAUAUCCCACCCAUAGAUUCUCAUGAAACUCCUUGAAUAGUCUUUGUUGAUCUUCUUUGGUACCUACUAUUCAUCUUGGCAUUCCAAUUCCUUUCUUUGGUCUCUUCCAUAAAAACCCUUCUUAAAGCAAAAAUCCAUAAGCCUUCUUUCUUAUUUGAUUAAAUUUUUUUGUUGACCAAUUUUCUUGUUUAAUCAAGGUAUUCAAAUAAAGACUAAUUUUUAAUAAUUCUCCUUCAUAAAGCUCUUCAAAAAACAUCUUGUCUUCCUUAUUAAGAUUUGAUACUGAAUAGAAUUUUGUUUCAACAUCAUCAAUAUCUUCAACCAUCUUGUCUUCUCUUUCAUAUACUACUCGAGAUAACAUAUCUACUACCGGAUUGUCUUUCUCCACAAUAUGCCUAAGUUCUGGAUUUAGUGAUUUGAUAUAAGUAAUCUAUCUCAACAUUGCAAUAUCUGAUGUUGUACAAUUGGUAAUUAUUCCAAGUAAAGACAAACAAUCUUUUUUAAUUAUCACCAUAGCUCCAAUUAAAUAAUUCUUUUCAGCUUUUAUAGCUGAAACAAUUCAUCAUAGUUCCAUUUUCACCUAUGAAUAUGUACAUUGGCAAGUACUUAAAAUUUUAGCUCCAAAUCGUACUACAAAUCUAUAUCCAUUUGAGUCAUCUUGACCUAUAGCCCAUCCAAUGGCAAUCGGACUAGUAUCCACAGUAAGAAUCAUUAGUCUAUUGCACUUAUAAUCAACCUUUCUUAACAUUGGACGUGAUAUCAAUAAUUUCUUCAAUUUUUACACUACUUUAACAUACUUUUAUUUCCAUUUAAAUCGAUAGCCCUUGUAUAACAGUUCAUAUAAUGGAUCCGCUAUAUGAGCAUAAUGAGGGAUUCAAAUAUGAUAAAAUAUACAUACACCUAAAAACCUACAAAUCUCUAUUAAAAAACUACAAUCCUCUUUUAUUCUCACAAUCGCAUCAACUUUAGUCGGAUCUGGUUUUCUUCCAUAAAAUCUACAUAAAUGUCCAAAAAUCACAAUCUCUUGUACUCCAAAUAUAAAUUUUGUACUUCAUAAUAUAAGAUGAAUUUGUCCAAAUUAAGUCAAUAUUUUUUUACAAUCUUAUAUAUGAUCAGCAACAUACUUGCGACAUCCCUUCUUAUCUAAAGUUUCAUCCUUGUCUUCUUCUUUGCACCCCUUUAUAGGAACAUCAUCCAAAAAAGGUAUAGUCUUCUUAGGAAUAAAAUGUCUGAAUAUCUUAUUCAUCCCAUUCAUCAUAUGCACAACUGAGUUGGUUGCGCCUUAAAGAAGAGUAUACAUUCUAACUAAUCCAAGUGGUAUUCUCAUUGUUGUCAUAUCUCUACUUCCUUCUACAAGUUAAAAUUGGUCAUAGCCCAAAUACAAAUCAUCCAUUGAAUAGAUUGCCUUUCCUACAAAUGCCUCAAUAAAUUCAUCUACUAUAGGGCCAAUUCCUACAUUUCUGAUAGUUACUGCAUUCAUUGGUUGCAUAUCUUGAAUAAAAUAUAAUGACCCAUUUUUCUUAGGCACUGUAAACCAUCGACUAGAAUAUGAUACAAAAGAAGGCUCCAAAAUCUUCAUCUUUAUCUUUUCUUUUAAUAAUUCCACUAAGCUUGGUAAAUGUGUCCUUGGUAGUGGAAUUGGCCUUAGAUUCUAAGGUACAUGUAGUACAGUGAAAAUAACCAUAGUUUGGUAACUUUCGAUGCUUUAAAAGAUUCAAUCAUACCAUAAACUUUUUUUGAAUGAAUUGAUAUAACUUUAUCAUUAUUACCUAAUCCAAUAUACACAAUCAAUUCCAAAACAUCUUCCAGUUCAUUUUCUUCAUAAAUAUCAAUAAUCUUUUUAUUAUCUUCUAAUAUUCCUAACCUAUACAAUUCUUUUUCAAUAGUACUUAAUUUCUUCAUUUUUUUUAUUUUAAAAUCAUCAAUCUUUUUAUACAUAUUGCUUCUAUUUUCAAAAAUAUUAAUAAAUCUUCUAUUAAAGGUACCUACAUCUUGUGAGAGUACCUCUCUUUUUAUACCUCUAUAAUCUCGUUUUAUAGUGGUACCUCCAAAAAAUCCUUGAAUUCUUCAACAACCCUUGGCAAUAGAUUUUCUUUCAAUUUGUCUCAAUUCUGCUCAUGAUUUGGAAGCACAGUCAAAAACUAUAUUGCCCUCCUUCCAUCCUCACUACAAAUUCAUGUGUAAGCUGAACCAUCAUCGAGUACCUUUGUUUCUAUCCGAGUUUUAAUAAUAUAUAGUUGUCUCAAAAUAAAAAGAUAAGAUAUUCCAUCUUAAAUAAAAAAAAAAUUGCUCCAUUGUAACAUCACCAAUCCAAAUUUUCACAUUUGGGCAAGCACCAUAUAACUUCCCUUGUAUAUUAUUAACUAUCCAUAUUAUCCAUCCAUGCUCUAUAUCAAUUGGCCAUCUUUGCUUCAUAUAAAGAUCCUUAGACAUAAGAUUUAUUUCUGAACCAUGGUCAAUUAAAGCAACAAUUGGCUCAUCCAUAUCUCCAAUCUUCACUAAUCCCUCUGUAGUUGCUCUAAUUCAAUACUUCUGAGUAUAAUGACUUAAAAUCUUUCUAUCUUUAUUACUUUGAUCAUCAAAAUGUAUCCUUUGAUUAUAACUCCUCCCUUCAUUUGCUAAUUGUUUGUAAUAAUUAUCAAGUACAACUUUUUCACCUUCAAAUAUAUGUGCAUCAAUAGCAUGAUUCAAUCUAUCUUCUCUCAUUAAUUACUUCUUUUGUUUCAUACUGUCAAUAAUGACAUUAUAGAAUUCUUUCUUGGCAAUUCCUAAAUUUUUUUUCAAUGUAAACUCAAUCUUAGCAUUGAACACACGUUCUUCAAGCACUCCCUUUAAAUCUAUUGCCGCUUCAAUAUCAAAGAGUAGUUUAUAAGUUGUCAAUUUAUCUUUAUCUUUUAUCUCCUUUACUUUUUCUUUCGAUAUUAUUGAAGUAUCCUUUGUGGGCAAUUCUUAUAAAGCCGCUGCACGAGCUUUAUCUCCUCGAGUUUACUUCUUAGAAGAAUUUCCUUUUCUUGAAUCAUCAAAAUUUCUUCUCUUCUUUUCUUCCAUUAAAGCUUCAUGUUGGCUUUUAGCAAUAUAUGCAUGUACUAACAAAGCUUCUAUAAGAUCCUUCCAACCUGUAGCACCAUAAAUUAUUGCAACAGUUCUCAGUAAUGCUUUCUAUCGCAUCUGUCAAGGACAAGAACUCGAUAAAAAAGAAAUACAGACAAAAGAGCAUUCACUCAAAGAAAGAUAACAAAAUAUAAAUAAACAAGUAUGUAUAUUGAAAAAAAAAUUGAAAUGGCUAUUGCCAAAAGACAAGAAAACUAGAGAUCCUUGAAACUAGACUAAAAGCAAGAAAGGAGUUGACAAGAGUGAAGAGGGCUUCACUCUUGCCUCUAUAUAUAUUAUUUAACUAGGGGCUAUGUGGUGACGUUCUAUAAGACCUCCAAUAUGUGUUGACUUUGAAGGACACAUGCCUUGACUUACAAGGUAAGUUUUUUUAUGUGUGGGCCACAUAGUUAGCUUGAUCUUCAAGCUAACAACAUGUGUGGUACAUGGCCAACUUGUUGACCACAUUUCUAAUCCAAAAAGUCAAUUAAAGACACCUAUGAAGUCAAAGCAACGUCUAUGAAGCUUCUAAAAAGCUUUCAUAUUAAAUACUAUAGAAUUAACUUAUUUUUACCUACUUUUACUUACUUCCACCUAUUUAUAUAUAUAAUUACUAGCUUACAUGAGUAUGUCUGUGACAACAUCUUCUCUUUUUACAUUGUAGAAAUAGCAAAAGACCAAAGUCCACUUGAUUGAAUAUUUCUGACAUAAUUUUGUCUGCCAUCAUUAUCCACCCUAGUUCCAUAACUUGCAGCUUCUAUUGCCACAAUUCCAUGUGUUGUUAAAUAAUCUUUAAUCAAUGCUUUUAUGCCUCCUUUACCAAAGUUGGUUUUGGAGAAGAUCACGAGUAUCUUUCAAUGCAACCUUUCCAUCUUUUCAAUAAACAAUGUCUUGUUGUACUAUCUCAUUAAAUUCACCACAAUCUUUUCGAGAAUGAGAAUCAUCAUCACAUCAAAUACAUCUUUGCACAUAUCCUUAUUUAAAAGUAGCCUUUGAACUUAUUGUAGAAGUCUUUUCUUCAAGCCUUGCAAGUUUGAUUUUAAGAUCUCGCAUCCCUCAAAUAAUCUCCUCAAGUUCCAUAUCUUCUUUCUUUGGUGUAGUCAAUGGAGGUUGGACAAAAGGCACAGUCAAUCUUAUAGUAGGCAUUGGAGUCUUUGAAACUUGUUUCACUUAUUGAGUACCAAACUCAUCCUUUCUCCUUUCUUUUUUUACAAGUAAUCCAAUAGCAUCUUCAACAGCUCUCCACUUUGUUGUCAAUCCUUCUUUUUCUUCUUUAUCUUCAAGAAGAACCUCUAACUUCUCUUGUAAUUCUUCAUUAGCAACUUGAAGAAACAAUUCAACCUUACUUGGUCUCAAUGUUAACUUUUCCAUUUUUGAUAAUUGAAAAAAUUAUCUUUCAAAUUCUCUUAAUAAUUCUAUAGCUUGCAAAUUUUUGUUAGGUUGCUCAAUCCAUUCCAAGAAUGAUUUCUUGGUAACUCGAUUAGUAUCUUCCAAAAAGUACUCAUCCUUCAAUGCAUGUAAAAAUACCUCCCAUGAACUUUCAAAUUGCUCCAUAAUAGAUCUUAUAUGCUCUCUUAUCUCUGAUACCAUAACAAAUUCAAAUAAUUGAAUCAUCUCCUUCUCAGAAACACAAUUCAAUUCCAUUUUUUGCACAUUAUAACUUAAAUAUUUGAAAAUAUUCCUCCUAUCAAAUUGAUCAACCUUGUUAACCACUACUUGUAAUGCUUUGGUUGCCAAAGCCUCUUUGUGAUCAUUACCUUAUUGCUGUUGCAUAAAUAAUAUAAAUGCUUGAAACAUUUUUGCAAACUUUGGAUCAAAGUACAUACCUUAUUCACUGGUAGAAAUCCCACUUGAAGUUGCGCUUGAAGAUCUACUUGAAGUUCCACCCAAAGCUCCAUCAAAAAGUCUAAAUUCAACCUUCUUGCCUUCUUCUGCUAUUAAUUUUAAAUAAUAAAAAUUACAAUCCAAUACCUUCUACCCCAAACUUUCAUGUUGGGUUCACCACUUAUGUUGUAUUACAUGUUUUGCUUAGGAAUGUAUUGGGCAUCUAACUGUGGAAGGUGAAAUUGUGUUUCACAAGUAGCCAAGAAAUCCUAAUAGAUUUCAUCCAUACGAGAAGAAUGUAAUCUGAAUUUCAAUUCAAAAAUGCUUAAAACACUCUUCUUAGUAGUCUUAACCAUACAUAAAUCCCAAAUACCUUAUUACUUUCAUAUUUAAGCAAUUUAGAUUUUUCUUGUAAGUUCCAAUUCUAAUCAGUGAGCUUUAACAAGCUAUAACAUCCAAUCCAACCGUCCACUUGAUAUAGAAUUUAGCAUGCAAUUGUCAAUAUAAGUCUUCUAUAUGCUCAAGAAUUUUUAGUCCAAUCCAACUUAAAAAUUAUGAGAAAACCUCCAAAAAUUGUAUUGAUGUCACUCGGCCAUCAACUUGAAAAGUGAAGUAAAAAUUCCAGCAAUGAUUUAUCCCUUUUCAAUUAUUAACUUUGUCUCAAAAUUGAUGUGUAGCUUGAUCUUCAAGUCCUUCAACAUCAUGCCAAUUUUCACCUUAAUCCAACUAAUAGAUCUUUAGAUAUCAUAGAAAUCCUACCCAACCUCAAACUGCCACCUUCCAAAAUCCUCUUGUGCUAAAAACUAGACAUCUCUAAACCACGCCGUUAGAUUAUCACAAAAUUUUGUAUACACUUAGUACACCCAAUAAUCUAAAUAGUACCAAGUUUUCAACCAUAGAUGUUACACCAAUUGCACGAAAUAGCCAAAAUUAUUAGCCCUAAUUAUAUUAU
Molecule: long non-coding RNA, 15824 nt
Filed under: Physcomitrium patens
Lineage: Eukaryota; Viridiplantae; Streptophyta; Bryopsida; Funariales; Funariaceae
Description: long non-coding RNA (PPAT_LNC013452)
Source: RNAcentral